RNAcentral lists this ribosomal RNA (459 nucleotides) under uncultured bacterium. RNAcentral's name for it is "partial 16S ribosomal RNA". It matches the Rfam family "Bacterial small subunit ribosomal RNA", at positions 338 to 795 of the family's 1533-position model. The record is from RNAcentral.
CCUACGGGAGGCAGCAGUGAGGAAUAUUGGUCAAUGGGCGCGAGCCUGAACCAGCCAAGUCGCGUGAGGGAAGACGGUCCUAUGGAUUGUAAACCUCUUUUGUCGGGGAGCAAAAGCAGCCACGCGUGGCGUUCCGAGAGUACCCGAAGAAAAAGCAUCGGCUAAGUCCGGGCCAGCAGCGGCGGUAAUACGGAGGAUGCGGGAGUUAUCCGGAUAUAUUGGGGUAAAAGGGGGCGCAGGCGGAAGAUCAAGUCAGUGGUAAAAUUGAGGGGCUCAACCUCUUCGAGCCGUUGAAACUGGUUUUCUUGAGUGAGCGAGAAGUAUGCGGAAUGCGAGGUGUAGCCGUGAAAUGCAUAGAUAUCACGCAGAACUCCGAUUGCGAAGGCAGCAUACCGGCGCUCAACUGACGCUCAUGCACGAAAGUGUGGGUAUCGAACAGGAUUAGAUACCCCAGUAGUC